CCUACGGGCGGCAGCAGUGAGGAAUAUUGGUCAAUGGACGAGAGUCUGAACCAGCCAAGUAGCGUGAAGGAUGACUGCCCUAUGGGUUGUAAACUUCUUUUAUAUGGGAAUAAAAUGUUCCACGUGUGCCUUUUUGUAUGUACUUUAUGAAUAAGGAUCGGCUAACUCCGUGCCAGCAGCCGCGGUAAUACGGAGGAUCUGAGCGUUAUCCGGAUUUAUUGGGUUUAAAGGGAGCGUAGAUGGGUUGUUAAGUCAGUUGUGAAAGUUUGCGGCUCAACCGUAAAAUUGCAAUUGAUACUGGCAGUCUUGAGUACAGUUGAGGUAGGCGGAAUUCGUGGUGUAGCGGUGAAAUGCUUAGAUAUCACGAAGAACUCCGAUUGCGAAGGCAGCUUACUAAACUGCCACUGACAUUGAUGCUCGAAAGUGUGGGUAUCAAACAGGAUUAGAUACCCCUGUAGUC
Molecule: ribosomal RNA, 460 nt
Filed under: uncultured bacterium
Lineage: Bacteria
Description: partial 16S ribosomal RNA
Rfam family: Bacterial small subunit ribosomal RNA
Source: RNAcentral